This 463-nucleotide ribosomal RNA is filed under the name uncultured bacterium. RNAcentral describes it as "bacterial SSU rRNA". It matches the Rfam family "Bacterial small subunit ribosomal RNA", at positions 28 to 491 of the family's 1533-position model. The record is from RNAcentral.
GAUGAACGCUGGCGGCGUGCUUAACACAUGCAAGUCGAGCGAAGCACCUUGACGGAUUUCUUCGGAUUGAAGCCUUGGUGACUGAGCGGCGGACGGGUGAGUAACGCGUGGGUAACCUGCCUCAUACAGGGGGAUAACAGUUGGAAACGGCUGCUAAUACCGCAUAAGCGCACAGUACCGCAUGGUACGGUGUGAAAAACUCCGGUGGUAUGAGAUGGACCCGCGUCUGAUUAGGUAGUUGGUGGGGUAACGGCCUACCAAGCCGACGAUCAGUAGCCGACCUGAGAGGGUGACCGGCCACAUUGGGACUGAGACACGGCCCAAACUCCUACGGGAGGCAGCAGUGGGGAAUAUUGCACAAUGGGGGAAACCCUGAUGCAGCGACGCCGCGUGAGCGAUGAAGUAUUUCGGUAUGUAAAGCUCUAUCAGCAGGGAAGAAAAUGACGGUACCUGACUAAGAAGC